Molecule: non-coding RNA, 30 nt
Filed under: Homo sapiens (human)
Lineage: Eukaryota; Metazoa; Chordata; Mammalia; Primates; Hominidae
Source: RNAcentral
UGUUGGACGAAUGUCUCUAAGUGUGGCUGU